GAUGAAGAACGCAGCGAAAUGCGAAAAGUAGUGUGAAUUGCAGAAUUCAGUGAAUCAUCGAAUCUUUGAACGCACAUUGCGCCCGCCAGUAUUCUGGCGGGCAUGCCUGUUCGAGCGUCAUUUCAACCCUCAAGACCCCUUCGGGGGACUUGGUGUUGGGGACCGGCACAGGGGCCUGCCUGCUUGUCUUGCAGCGCCCUCGCCGCCCCCGAAAUGAAUUGGCGGCCUCGUCGCGGCCUCCCCUGCGUAGUAGCACAAACCUCGCAACGGGAACGUGACGGCGGCCACUGCCGUAAAACAACCCAAUUUUAUUAGAGUUGACCUCGAAUCAGGUAGGAAUACCCGCUGAACUUAAGCAUAUCAAUAAGCGGAGGA
This 375-nucleotide unclassified non-coding RNA is filed under the name soil metagenome. RNAcentral's name for it is "partial contains 5.8S ribosomal RNA, internal transcribed spacer 2, and large subunit ribosomal RNA". The stretch from base 1 to 120 matches the Rfam family "5.8S ribosomal RNA", at positions 35 to 154 of the family's 154-position model. The record is from RNAcentral.